CUCCGUUACAGAAGACAAUCAGAUACUAUUUCCAGGUCUCGUAUUAAUAGAAUUCCCGGGCCCAAGAUGACACCUGCUGACAAUCAAAGACAGGCACCUUCGGAAUCUUCUUGCCAUAGAUACAAACAGAGGAAACAGCCUUCUGUUCACAUGAUUGCACAGCCCCAAUACACACGGACUGUUACCCAUGCCACUACCACCUGCAAUGCUGGCCACAGCAUUUCGCUGUCACCAGUCUUCCCACCGGGACCUGCACUUCCUGAGACCACAACCAGGUUACAUGGUUCUAUUCCAGCUGGCGACAAACAAACAAUUUGCCCUCCUCAAGUCCCUUGUCUACAACCCUCUCCCGGUGCUACGCUUCCACGCUGUGGUCAACCUCUUCAUGGUCUACAGAACAUUCCAGUUGUCUCACACUCUCAACAUCGCCUGACAUUGAGUCAACCUCUCCCGCGCCAUUUGCAGAUCGACAGUGCUUAUGAUUCUGAUGAUUCCAUAACUAAUGAUUUUCAACACGCCAGUCCCUAUCACACUUAAGCAAGCUGACAUUUAAUGGCAUUCAAUACACUGAGCCAAUUACUACACCCAUCCUCAACCAAAUCAAGAGGUCAAUCUGCAAAUAUAUUUGGAGAAAUAAAUUCAUCGACUUCUCUUCUCUACUAUCCUCUUUCCCUUCGUCUACCUGCGAUCCCCAAUUCUCAUUUCAACUCGAUCAACACUCGAACUUUACACUUCGACCCUCCACCCGCACCCAGAAAAUCAUAACCAUAGAGUCCUGGACAUCAGCUUUUAUCAAAUUCACAGCAGUGUAUACAACCAAAUUUCCCCAUGAAGCUGCACAGCUUAUGAAGUACGCCGAAAUCGUCCGGGACAUUGCAGCUCGCUGUCCUGGUCUUGCUUUUUACCAUUACGACAUCCAUUUCAGAAGGUUACGAGAGUCCGUCCCCCUCCCCUGGGAUAGAUUGCAUACUGAGUUUUGGCUUAGGGCGUGUACAUCUUUCCAUCAACAACCCACUCCAUUUUCACCUCCCCUCCAUACAUCUUCUCAUAGCUCGCACAGCCACCGUAUCCAUAGGUUCCAUGACAAGACCUGCUGGAAUUUCAACAAAAGAACGCUUUGUCGCAAUGCCAAAUGCCCGCACCCUCACAUCUGUGGUUUCUGCAGAGGGUCCCACGCAGCCUACCACUGCAAGUUCUCAAGCAAACGAGACACCGUCAAAUUACCAUGACACAGUAUAACCAAUUUUUCAAACAUAAAUCCCCCCAUGUUUUAGGUGCACACUACAUGGUGCUUAGUUCAGGGCCUCUUACCCUAUUUCCUCAAACCGCACUUUUCAAUGCUCUUUUUUCCCCCCCCUUUUCUGGUAUACAGGUUACCACCUGUUUCAUUUUCAGCUAUACAUGCACAAACAACAUCACUAUUUCCCAUAUCCAAUAACCUGGUCAGCGGCAUUCAGCUGCUUCCUUAUAAUACACGUCAACUCUCACAUGUUGAAACCCUCCCCUCAUGCUUACAUUCCUACUUACACGGUUUUGAUCUGUCGGUUAAAGGCAGCAGAUCAUCCCUUUAUUUCAUAUCCGUCUUUACCACUAGUUCUGACGGUUCUAUAUAACAGAUCUACUCAUCACCCUUAAGUAUCCCAUGGCCAGCAUAUUGAAUGCCAUUACCAUCGGUUAACACUACACUUUGCAUAAACGCAGUCUUACCGACGGUUUAAGGCCGCGGUGGUUUUUCAAUUUCUAUUUUCCUGCUGUUAUUUGCUGUAUAAACAUUAGAACCAUUUCACCGACGGUUUAAGGCCGCUGUGCUCAUUUUUAUAUGUUGUUCAUUGUUGUAGUUCUAAAGAUACACUGGUUAACCUGACGGUUUAAGGCCGCGGUGCUCAUUUUUAUAUGUUGUUCAUUGUUGUAGUUCUAAAGAUACAGUGGUUUUACCGACGGUUUAAGGCCGCGGUGGAUUUUUUUAUGUACCUGUAUGUUUACUGAUAUAAUUCUAUGAAUUACACUGGUUUAACCGACAGUUUAAGGCCGCGGUAAACCUGUGCUAAAUGUUUUACCACAACUGUGGUGUACUUAAUUGCUGUAAUUAUUUUGCUUUAAAGUAUUGCUUUUUUGCUUUUUGUUUUUGUGUUUAUAGUCUGACGGUUCAAUUUUGCUUUAAAGUAUUGCGUUUUUGUUUUUUGUUUUUGUGUUUAUAGUCUGACGGUUGAAGGCCACAGUUUUUAUUAAGUGCCAUGUAACCUUUUACCUUUGAUCUCAAACAGCCUCUAUGGCCAAAUGGUCAUUCUUGCCAAAUUUUUUGUACAAUCUCUGACGGUUAAAGGCCGCAGUUUUUAUUUUCAUGUCUUUGUUUUCACCUUGUUGUUCUAGGCCGCAAUCACUGUAUCUAUUCUUUUUAUUUAUUUAGAUGGUAGUGCCGCAUCUUUAUGCUUUCACUUAUAAAUGUUCAUUUGGGAUAAUACUAUACAAUUACUGACGGUUUAUGGCCGCAGUCGGAUUGCA
Molecule: long non-coding RNA, 2502 nt
Organism: Mya arenaria
Lineage: Eukaryota; Metazoa; Mollusca; Bivalvia; Myida; Myidae
Exons: 2
Source: RefSeq, a predicted model, not a curated record